Molecule: ribosomal RNA, 216 nt
Filed under: uncultured bacterium
Lineage: Bacteria
Description: partial 16S ribosomal RNA
Rfam family: Bacterial small subunit ribosomal RNA
Source: RNAcentral
UACGAAGGGGGGCUAGCGUUGUUCGGGAAUUACUGGGGCGUAAAGCGCGCGCAGGGCGGGUUCUUUAAGUCAGGGGGUGAAAGCCCAGAGCUCAACUCUGGGAAUUGCCCUUUGAAACUAGAGAACUUGAGUUACGGGAGAGGUGAGUGGAAUUCCGAGUGUAGAGGGUGAAAUUCGUAGAUAUUCGGGAAGAACACCAGUGGCGAAGGGCGGCUC